CGGACGGGUGAGUAACACGUGGAUAACCUACCUAUAAGACUGGGAUAACUUCGGGAAACCGGAGCUAAUACCGGAUAAUAUAUUGAACCGCAUGGUUCAAUAGUGAAAGACGGUUUUGCUGUCACUUAUAGAUGGAUCCGCGCCGCAUUAGCUAGUUGGUAAGGUAACGGCUUACCAAGGCAACGAUGCGUAGCCGACCUGAGAGGGUGAUCGGCCACACUGGAACUGAGACACGGUCCAGACUCCUACGGGAGGCAGCAGUGC
Molecule: ribosomal RNA, 264 nt
Filed under: uncultured Staphylococcus sp.
Lineage: Bacteria; Bacillati; Bacillota; Bacilli; Caryophanales; Staphylococcaceae
Description: partial 16S ribosomal RNA
Rfam family: Bacterial small subunit ribosomal RNA
Source: RNAcentral